UAUUCAUCUAUUCCAUUGACUGUUUUUUCUUGGUUCUUCUUUUUGUAUUCCCUCCAGCUCUAUUGGCCGACACCCUCUCUAGCCACAAACUGCUUACCCCUCCAGAUCGCACCUUCAGGUGGCCGCGGACAAUCGUCAUAUGCUCGAUGCGGCUGUCCACUCCAGGCGCCUGACCGGCUGACAUCGCAAACUCCCCGCCGGCUCCUGCGUACGGGUCCACUACAUAAUUGCUGUCGCGCGAGCUGUGGCCUUUGGCCUGGGUGACCUUUGUGUCCGUCGGUACUUCCGCCGCGGGUGAUUCCGCCGAAUCUCCUCGUCUUCUCGGAAGGUCCAAGGGGAUGUUCUUUUGGCUGGACUGUGGCAGCCACUGGCUGCUACGAACAUGCUAUGAGCUAUAGCCAGUCGACAACGUGGCGUCCCAUCCGCUGCAGCAAGGACCCUUGAUCGACGGCGGAAUUGUUGGUUCACGUCCGCGGGAUAUAUUGUGAGCAAGCAGCCGCCGAAUCAAACACUGGGCUUCAUCUUCGACACGCAGGACUAAUGUACCCUAUGUUUUGCCACAAACCGGAUCGUGUCCGACAGCAGGACAGAAGCGCACCCCUUGCACAAUCGGAACCUAACAAUCCAUCUUUAUUCUUCGACAUGGUCAUCGACAACAAGGACUUUGACUAUGGCAACCAAGGAAGGGGCUACGCCGCCUACUAGACUCUAGAUAUAUAUCGUUGUUGGUAGUUUUAAGGAUAUAAGCGCCCAUAUAUUUAUAUAGUAGAUAUAAAUGUUUUCAACUUGUUUAUUUCUUUAUUUA
This is a long non-coding RNA of Drosophila persimilis, 805 nucleotides long. RefSeq lists it as uncharacterized. The record is from RefSeq and is a predicted model, not a curated record. NCBI's taxonomy places the organism in Eukaryota, Metazoa, Arthropoda, Insecta, Diptera, Drosophilidae. The transcript is spliced from 3 exons.